Carassius gibelio (silver crucian carp) is the source of this 689-nucleotide long non-coding RNA. RefSeq lists it as uncharacterized. The record is from RefSeq and is a predicted model, not a curated record. The transcript is spliced from 3 exons. NCBI's taxonomy places the organism in Eukaryota, Metazoa, Chordata, Actinopteri, Cypriniformes, Cyprinidae.
GGUAUGGCAUUACAUUUGUCAAGUUAUUUGAACAGACAUGCAUGAUUUUUGUGUGUAUAUUAUUAUUAUUAUUAUUUUUCAGGAUGACAUGAUCAGGAGGUGGUGGUGUUCUGUUCUCCUGGACAGCUUUACUCCGCAAAUAGCUCAACCACUGAGGGAAGGAACUUCACCAUUCACCAUGUCUUCAGGCAGAGUCCAGCAAAGCAGCUUCCCCUGGAAAUCCUCAUGGAAGUUAUUUUGUCAGCGGGUGACUCUGCAUAUUUGACACUUUCUCUGGUUUGCAGAUGGUUUAGGGAUGUGCUCCGAAGUUUUUUGGAAAGCGGCACAGUUUGCCUGGCUAGACAGUAAGAUUUCCCCGUUUAAUGCUCAUUCUCCAAUUGAGUUCAGACGGAUGUACAGCAUCAGGGAACACUUGCAGUGCAGAGCCCUUUUCAAGUUUAACCCACCAGGGUACAGGGAAGAGACCGGCGUGGUGAUCUUCUGGGCUUUUGUUUACACAGGAUUUUGUUCCAAGGACUGUUUUUUAUUUUUUAUUUUUAUUUUUUGUGGCAUGAAACACAUUUGUGUGUUAAGUUCAUUGAAGGGAAAUAGAGAAUGGACUGAGAUCAGCUGGUUUUGAUGUAUUAAUUGAUGUAAUUUAAAGUUAAACUUUGCAGUGUAUAAUGUUUUAAUAAAAAAGCUAUGGCAAA